RNAcentral lists this small RNA (1226 nucleotides) under Pongo abelii (Sumatran orangutan). RNAcentral's name for it is "retained intron". Lineage: Eukaryota; Metazoa; Chordata; Mammalia; Primates; Hominidae. The record is from RNAcentral.
UCUACAAAUAAGAAACCUCGAAAAUCUCCAGGUGAGAAGAGCAGAAUUGAAGCUGGAAUUAGAGGAGCAGGCCGUGGAAGAGCUAAUGGGCACCCUCAACAGAAUGGGGAAGGGGAGCCCGUCACAUUAUUUGAGGUGGUGAAACUGGGGAAAAGUGCAAUGCAGUCCGUGGUGGAUGACUGGAUUGAAUCAUAUAAACAAGACAGGGACAUCGCACUUCUGGAUUUAAUCAACUUUUUUAUCCAGUGUUCAGGAUGUCGAGGUACUGUGAGAAUAGAGAUGUUUCGAAAUAUGCAGAAUGCAGAAAUCAUCAGAAAAAUGACUGAAGAAUUUGAUGAGGACAGUGGUGAUUAUCCUCUUACCAUGCCUGGACCUCAGUGGAAAAAAUUUCGUUCAAACUUUUGUGAAUUUAUUGGAGUCCUGAUUCGACAGUGUCAGUAUAGUAUAAUUUAUGAUGAGUAUAUGAUGGACACAGUAAUCUCCCUUUUGACGGGUUUGUCAGACUCCCAGGUCAGAGCUUUUAGGCAUACAAGUACCCUGGCUGCCAUGAAGCUCAUGACUGCUCUGGUGAAUGUUGCCUUAAACCUCAGUAUUCAUCAGGAUAAUACCCAGAGACAAUAUGAAGCCGAGAGAAAUAAAAUGAUUGGGAAGAGAGCCAAUGAAAGGUUGGAGUUACUACUUCAGAAACGCAAAGAGCUGCAAGAAAAUCAGGAUGAAAUCGAAAAUAUGAUGAACUCUAUUUUUAAGGGUAUAUUUGUUCAUAGAUACCGGUAAGAGAUUUUAAAAAUAAUUUUGAAGGCUUUUCACUUAAACAAUUAUUGAUUUUUUUUGUGGCCCAGGCUAACUGUAAAACUCACUAAUUAUGAUUUGUGUUUUGUUUUCUGGAAAACAACUUUGGCUGUCAAUGUCACACUACAACUAUAGAAGAAAUUGUAUGACUACUGCCACUACCACUGUUAUACUCUUCCAGAUUCAGAACAUAUGCUGUUGGAAGUAGCUUAUGUACUUGGAUUUAUACCGAUGGAAUAUUAAUUAAUAGGAUCAUAAACUAAUGUAGCUUUAAUAAGAUAUUCUUGUUUUCACAUUUAAAAAAUUAAAUGCCCUACUUCUUGCUCUGUGGUACUCAUUUUGUUCCAUGGGCAAAUUAAUAAUUAAAAAAAAAAAAAACCUGUGUGAAGCUGGGCGAAAAGAGGACAGAGAAGGACACCCCCGCAGUUAAUGCAACA